UACAGAGGUGGCAAGCGUUGUUCGGAAUUACUGGGCGUAAAGGGCGCGUAGGCGGCCCACUAAGUCAGACGUGAAAUCCCCCGGCUUAACCUGGGAACUGCGUCUGAUACUGGAGGGCUUGAGUAUGGGAGAGGGAUGUAGAAUUCCAGGUGUAGCGGUGAAAUGCGUAGAUAUCUGGAGGAAUACCGGUGGCGAAGGCGGCUCACUGGCCCGGUACUGACGCUGAGGUGCGAAAGCGUGGGGAGCAAACAGG
RNAcentral lists this ribosomal RNA (253 nucleotides) under uncultured bacterium. Its description in RNAcentral is "partial 16S ribosomal RNA". It matches the Rfam family "Bacterial small subunit ribosomal RNA", at positions 524 to 776 of the family's 1533-position model. The record is from RNAcentral.